This 146-nucleotide unclassified non-coding RNA is filed under the name soil metagenome. RNAcentral's name for it is "partial internal transcribed spacer 1". The record is from RNAcentral.
CCGAGUUUACAACUCCCAAACCCCUGUGAACAUACCACUUGUUGCCUCGGCGGAUCAGCCCGCUCCCGGUAAAACGGGACGGCCGCCAGAGGACCCCUAAACUCUGUUUCUAUAUGUAACUUCUGAGUAAAACCAUAAAUAAAUCA